AAGAAAUUAGUUUAAACAAAACGGCUAACUUCGAACUAGCAGCCUCAGAUGCCCUGAAUUUCUUAA
Molecule: transfer RNA, 66 nt
Filed under: Calotes versicolor
Lineage: Eukaryota; Metazoa; Chordata; Lepidosauria; Squamata; Agamidae
Description: tRNA-Arg
Source: RNAcentral